This is a small nucleolar RNA of Cervus hanglu yarkandensis (Yarkand deer), 133 nucleotides long. Lineage: Eukaryota; Metazoa; Chordata; Mammalia; Artiodactyla; Cervidae. The record is from Ensembl.
GGCCAACACCCCGAUGAAGACAGACACAAAAAUGCUCAUCAAAAAUACUAGGAGAUGGCUACAUUGAGAACACAGGUUUUGCUUCUAUCCCUGUAGUUUUAUUGCAGUGAUGACAAUGAGACCUGUAAUAUUU